CUGGCGGCCGCCUGGGCUGCGGCCCUGAGAGUCAGGUGGCUGCAAAGGACAACCCGCGGUGUGGUGCCACUGGAGGCACCGAGAGCCUUCCACAUGACCAAGGCCAUGUUGCCAGGGACAUAUCCUAGGACCCCAGAAGAACGGGCCGCAGCCACCAAGAAGUGUAAUAUGCGUGUGGAAGACUCCGAGCCAUUCCCAGAUGAUGGCAUCGGGUAAUGGUGACUACCCGAUGCUUCCCCAACAGAUCGCAGCAUGAGAGGGAUCCGUGGUAUGAUGGGACCACCCAGACCUCAGGCUGACCUAGGGUGAACCGAUACACUGGGACCUAGACAUUUACGUCAGGAUCAGGAGUCGUGUGGACACGUCGCCUACACCUGCUUCCUGAGAUGAUGUCAUGUGUAAACACUGCUUCGGCUUCGUGGCUUUCAUGGUUUUCAUGUUCUGGGUAAGGGACAUGUUCCCUUCUUAAAGCAGUACCCUUACAAUAAUCCGCCCGUGGAGUGAGGUGGUGAUCCUACGAAAGAGCCCGAGCCCGUGGUUCACUAUGAUAUC
RNA transcript from Mus musculus (house mouse), 552 nucleotides. It is a transcript of the gene named RIKEN cDNA 1700028B04 gene, with no coding region annotated. The record is from RefSeq and is marked provisional. The transcript has a single exon. Lineage: Eukaryota; Metazoa; Chordata; Mammalia; Rodentia; Muridae.